AUCCCAUGAUGAGGAAAGUUAUGAAGUAAUUCCUUAGAACUUUCCCAUACCUCAUACAAAGAUUCGUCAUCCAAUUGUUGAAAAGUUGUUAUCUGAUUACGCAACUU
Gossypium arboreum is the source of this 107-nucleotide non-coding RNA. NCBI's taxonomy places the organism in Eukaryota, Viridiplantae, Streptophyta, Magnoliopsida, Malvales, Malvaceae. The record is from Rfam.